AUGAACGCUAACGAUAUGCUUAACACAUGCAAGUUGAACGAAAAUUAUUUUUUAAUUUUAGUAGCGUACGGGUGAGUAAUACAUAGAUUUUAAAAUUAAUAGAUAAAGGAUAUUUUUUAGAAAUAGAAAGCAAUACUUUAUAGAAAUAAAGAAAAUUUUAUAUGAAUUUUCGUCUAUUUAUUGAUUUAUGUCUGAUUAGCUUGUUGGUUGGGUAAAAGCCUACCAAGGCGAUGAUCAGUAGCUGGUCUGAGAGGACGGUCAGCCACAUUGGAAUUGAAAAACGGUCCAAACUCCUAUGGGAGGCAGCAGUGGGGAAUAUUCUGCAAUGGGCGAAAGCUUGACAGAGCAAUAUCGUGUGAGGGAUUGAAGGUUUUUAGCUAGAAUUGUAAACCUCUUUUAUCAAGGAAGAAAAGAAUGACGGUACUUGAUGUAAUCAGCAUCGGCUAAUCUCGU
RNAcentral lists this ribosomal RNA (453 nucleotides) under uncultured bacterium. RNAcentral's name for it is "bacterial SSU rRNA". It matches the Rfam family "Bacterial small subunit ribosomal RNA", at positions 30 to 506 of the family's 1533-position model. The record is from RNAcentral.